RNAcentral lists this ribosomal RNA (658 nucleotides) under uncultured bacterium. Its description in RNAcentral is "bacterial SSU rRNA". It matches the Rfam family "Bacterial small subunit ribosomal RNA", at positions 173 to 851 of the family's 1533-position model. The record is from RNAcentral.
GCGCACGGGAGCGCAUGCUCCUGUGUGAAAAACUCCGGUGGUAUGGGAUGGACCCGCGUCUGAUUAGCCAGUUGGCAGGGUAACGGCCUACCAAAGCGACGAUCAGUAGCCGGCCUGAGAGGGUGGACGGCCACAUUGGGACUGAGACACGGCCCAAACUCCUACGGGAGGCAGCAGUGGGGAAUAUUGCACAAUGGGGGAAACCCUGAUGCAGCGACGCCGCGUGAGUGAAGAAGUAUUUCGGUAUGUAAAGCUCUAUCAGCAGGAACGAGACAAGACGGUACCUGACUAAGAAGCCCCGGCUAACUACGUGCCAGCAGCCGCGGUAAUACGUAGGGGGCAAGCGUUAUCCGGAAUCACUGGGUGUAAAGGGAGCGUAGACGGCUGUGCAAGCCUGAAGUGAAAGGCGGGGGCCCAACCCCUGGACUGCUUUGGGAACUGUACGGCUGGAGUGCAGGAGAGGUAAGUGGAAUUCCUAGUGUAGCGGUGAAAUGCGUAGAUAUUAGGAGGAACACCAGUGGCGAAGGCGGCUUACUGGACUGUAACUGACGUUGAGGCUCGAAAGCGUGGGGAGCAAACAGGAUUAGAUACCCUGGUAGUCCACGCCGUAAACGAUGCUUAAAAGGUGUCGGGGGGCAGAGGCCCUUCGGUGCCGCAG